Molecule: small nuclear RNA, 108 nt
Organism: Mus spicilegus (steppe mouse)
Lineage: Eukaryota; Metazoa; Chordata; Mammalia; Rodentia; Muridae
Source: Ensembl
GUGCUCGCUUCGGCAGCACAUAUACUAAAAAUUGGAACGAUACAGAGAAGAUUAGCAUGGCCCCUGCGUACGGAUGACACACAAAUUCGUGAAGCAUUCGAUAUUUUU